UGAGCGCUGGCGGCGUGCCUAAUACAUGCCAGUCGAGCGACCAGACGCGGAGCUUGCUCCUCUGACGUUAGCGGCGGACGGGUGAGUAACACGUGGAUAACCUACCUAUAAGACUGGGAUAACUUCGGGAAACCGGAGCUAAUACCGGAUAAUAUAUUGAACCGCAUGGUUCAAUAGUGAAAGACGGUUUUGCUGUCACUUAUAGAUGGAUCCGCGCCGCAUUAGCUAGUUGGUAAGGUAACGGCUUACCAAGGCAACGAUGCGUAGCCGACCUGAGAGGGUGAUCGGCCACACUGGAACUGAGACACGGUCCAGACUCCUACGGGAGGCAGCAGUAGGGAAUCUUCCGCAAUGGGCGAAAGCUUGACGGAGCAACGCCGCGUGAGUGAUGAAGGUCUUCGGAUCGUAAAACUCUGUUAUUAGGGAAGAACAAAUGUGUAAGUAACUAUGCACGUCUUGACGGUACCUAAUCAGAAAGCCACGGCUAACUACGUG
This 495-nucleotide ribosomal RNA is filed under the name uncultured bacterium. Its description in RNAcentral is "partial 16S ribosomal RNA". It matches the Rfam family "Bacterial small subunit ribosomal RNA", at positions 30 to 507 of the family's 1533-position model. The record is from RNAcentral.